ACAAGUCACGGCAUCCGUGUUUCUAAAACAAAUCCCCAAAGUGAUGCUUAUGAUCAAGCAAGUAUAAGACACUGUCUCCAAACUGUACGCCUGGUCCUGCCAGAUGCUGCGAUGGCGGGAAGGAAAUACAAAAUGGGUAGCCGAUGCUCCUUGCUGUCAGGAGACAGUUCGGAGGCAAGACGGAUUCAGACCCCACGGUGCACCACAGUUGGAUGAUAACGGUGUAGUUCUGAUCAUGGAACAGCUAGUCCUCAGAAAGGGGGUAGACUGUAGAUUAGAAGACGUAGAAAGAAUCAGGGAAGGCUGUAAGGAAGAGGCAGAACCAAGGAUUAAAGGUGGGAGGAUGAAGGGCGUUUUAGACAGACAGUGCAUCACCGACGAAAGCCUUGGAAGGAGCAUGAGUUUGGUAUUUUCACAAGGCAGAGAGUGGGUCAGCCAAGCAGGCUGGAGGUUUGGGCGGAGACUGUGCAGGACGUCUGACUAAACGGGGCAGUUUCCAUGCGCAGCCCUAGGGAACCAGGGCGGGCCCCGGAGCGAGUGCUCUCAUGAUAAAAGGGGUGACUGAGUAAGAUGAAGACCUCCGUUCCCCAGCUCCUUGAAUCAUAAGCGAAGAUGAGAGGUAACACCUCCAGCUUGGCCAGAGAACACCCGGCGGCAUCUUAAAUCUGGGGGCCCCUGAGACCUUCCCCAGCUUUGCAGCAGGGCUCCUGAACCUGCAAGAGGUGUCUUCGAGGGAUGGGUCAGGCUGAGAAGGAGGCGUUCAGGGAUUGGGGUGGGGAGGUUGCGUACCCCUGCAGCCUCGAUGGAGAGGUGAGGAAGGAGACAGGGCGGACGCCUAUAUAUCAAUAUAGGACAAGGCUACAGACAAAGCCAGCCAGCGCUGGAAAUGCUGCAUGGAGCUACCUGGAGCAAUUUGAUGUGCCUCUAAGUUAUUUUAGCAUCAAAGGCGGAGUGACCAUAUGGAAAGAACGAAGGGCCAGAAAAGACAGGCUUGGGCUGAAAGAAACCAGGAGUCCAGUCUGACUGCCUUGACGCAGAACAGACAGGAGCCAGAGCUUUCUGGAGAAGAAGUGAGACAUUCAGAAGAACUGGCUUCACCAGUUGCCAUGUUAUGUGCCAAAUGAGUUCUCCUGAAAACUAGAGGCUCAGUGGGUCGAGGCCCUUGGUUUAAGUGACAGGAAACCAAACUCAAAGUAGUUCAGGCAAAAGGGAAAUGUACUGGCCCAAGUGCCAGUCGUGCCGUCAUUUGGCUUCAGGCACAGCUGAAUCCAGGGCACUCUUGUGAUAUAAUCAGGAUGCUUGUCUGAGCAGCUUCAGCUUUAUUUUCCUCCGUGUGGCCUCGUUCUCUGACGAUGUUCUUCCAUGUCAUGGAAAAGGGGGUGUCCAUCAGCUCCAGCCAAAGUCCUUCGGAAGGAGGGAGACCCUCUCUCCUAGGAUCCAUUCUGGUCCUUUACCCACCCUUAGACCAAUGACUGUGUUCCCAGAAUGGGGCACUCUGAUUGGUCAGCUUGAGUUUCAUGUCCAUGUAGGUGGUGGGGGAAUCUUGGCCCUUGAUUGACAGUCCAUCAGAAUCCCAAAGGGCUGGAAGGAGGGAAAGCCCUCAAAAGGAAUAAAAACAAAAUAUGGGGCAGAGAAAAGAAUCAGAUAUUCAUGAUGCUGCUCUUAGGAGUUCCUAAUAGGAUCAUCUAGAGAGGAUGAUCCUAGACGGUUUCCCCACGGAGAACAGGCAUUGGAAGAAGACGGUGAGCUGUCAAGGCAGAGGGGUGGCUUGGAAAACACACAGGAGUCCCUGCUCCAAAAAGAUGUCCAUCGCUUUGCCGUAUUCCUGUGUUGAUCCUCUCCCCUUUUCUCAUCCUCAAUCAAGGCAUUCUUGUCUUGUAUCUGAUUUUAAUGGAAUGCUUCUAAAGAUUCAUAAUUAGUACUAAACAGUCAAUUUUUUAAAAAGGAAAAUCUUGGACAUAGAGUAUUAAUUUUCAUAUAUAUUCCUUAUAACUUUUUUAUACUGAUGGUAGCGUACUACUUACAUUGUUGUGCACCUUCCUAAGCCUACGCAUAUAUGUUUCAUAGGUUUCUGAAUAUUUAUGGAAGCUUCCAGAAGAAACUGGGAACAUGAACCGCUGUCAGGGAAGAGAGCUGAGUGGGUGGUGGGACAUUUAGCUCUAAGCAUCACUUCAGCUGUAUACUUAAGUUUUGAUAGGUAAGGCUUUUGAUGUUUUUCAGUUCAAAACAUUUUCUGUUUCCUAAUGGUUUCCUUUCUCUUAUUUAGGGUGAAUUUUUUAGUUUCCAAACUUGGGGUAUUUGACAUUCAAUUUAAUCACAUGAUGGACAGAGGAUGUGAUGUGACCUUAUAUUUUUUUUUUAUUUCUUUGAAAAUAUUAUGAUCCAGGAGUUUCCUUUGUGGCUCAGUGGGUUAAAAACCUGACAUAGUGUCCAUGAGGAUGUGGGUUCAAUCCCUGGCCUCAAUUAGUAGGUUAAGGAUCUGGUGUUGCCAUAAGCUGCAGUGUAGGUCAUAAAAGUGGCUUGGAUCUGCUGUGGCUGUGGCUGUGGUCUCUGCAUGUACCUGAAGCUCUGAUUUGACUUCUAGCCCAGGAAAUUCCAUAUGUCACAUGAUUGCCCCCCCAAAAAAUAAAGGAAAAUAUUGUGAUCUAAUAAAUGAUCAGUUUCUAAGUAUUCCACAUAUACUUGAAAAUAAUGUAUUCUUUACUUAAUAGAUAAACUAUCUUAUAUAGAUUUUAAAUGGUUGAAUUCUGUUUAAAUUUAAAGCCUAAAUAUUUUUUGUUGGCUCUCUAUAACAGUCUUCUUGAGCUCAGUUAAGAUUUUCCACUAUGAUAAUAGAUUUUUCCAGUUUUUCUGGUAAUUUGAUCAGUUGUGCUUUUUAGAUUUUUGAGACUAUUUUGGUAUAAAGCCACACAAGUUUAUGACUCCAUCUUCUUAGGGGCACAUUUCUUUCAGUAUCAUAUACCAUCCUUCUUUUGUCACUACUAGUAUUUUUUGCCUUAAAUCCUCUUUUGUCUGAUGGAAGUAUUAAAAUUUGGGCAAGAGCAACUAGAUUUCCCUUUGGUCAGUUUCCUCAGCUAUUAAAAAAAAAAAAAGAGUAAUUAGAACCUUAUCUUGGAAUUCUCUGGUGGCUCAGUGGGUUAGGGAUCUGGCAUUGUUGCUGCUGUGGCACAGGUUCGAUCCCUAGUGGGACCUUCUGCAUGCUGUGGGCACAGC
Molecule: long non-coding RNA, 3213 nt
Filed under: Sus scrofa (pig)
Lineage: Eukaryota; Metazoa; Chordata; Mammalia; Artiodactyla; Suidae
Description: lncRNA (ENSSSCG00000055232.1)
Source: RNAcentral